CCUACGGGCGACAGCAGUGGGGAAUAUUGCACAAUGGUGGGGACCCUGAUCCAGCGAAGCCGCGUGAGGGAGGAAGUAUUUCGGUAUGUAAAACUCUAUCAGCAGGGAAGAAGAUGACGGUACCUGACUAAGAAGCACCGUCUAACUACGUACCAGCAGCCGCGGUAAUACGUAGGGGGCCGGGGUUAUCCGGAGUUAAUGGGGGUAAAGGGAGCGUAUACGGCAUGGCAAGUGUGGAGUGAAAGCCCGGGGCCCAACCCCGGGCCUGCUUUGGAAACUGCCAUGCUAGAGUGCUGGAGAGGUAAGCGGAAUGCGUAGUGUAGCGGUGAAAUGCGUAGAUAUUAGGAAGAACACCAGUGGCGAAGGCAGCUUACUGG
This 377-nucleotide ribosomal RNA is filed under the name uncultured bacterium. Its description in RNAcentral is "partial 16S ribosomal RNA". It matches the Rfam family "Bacterial small subunit ribosomal RNA", at positions 338 to 732 of the family's 1533-position model. The record is from RNAcentral.